Molecule: long non-coding RNA, 3416 nt
Filed under: Pomacea canaliculata
Lineage: Eukaryota; Metazoa; Mollusca; Gastropoda; Architaenioglossa; Ampullariidae
Description: uncharacterized LOC112556823
Source: RNAcentral
CUGUACAAAGCAAGACAUGAAGACUGUGACCGCUUUCUGUGAAAGUCAAUGUUUGAUGUUUGAAGGUUUAUAUCUUGCAAAAGGAAGAUGGUUAAUUGCUCAGAUCUUAGGCAUUAGAAUCUUGUAAUGAAGAAAAUCCAGGCAUCUGAAAAUAAUACUGAACUUAUGUGAGACUUUGAAGGAGUAGAAGAGCCACCUGACCAAAGCUUCUAUUACUGAGGUCUGCAUCAUUGAUAGCAGUAAGUCAAAACUGAUGUAAUGUUAGAACAUGCUUAAAGGCCGAACUUAAAGGUAAGGGCCGGAAAGAAUGAUUCGACCUGAGGGAGGGAGGUGAGAACAAUGUACACAUCUUACUAUUAGAAGCUUUCCAAAAAUUCGUUUGUUACAUUUCAAGUUACUACCCUCAUCUUUAAUUUUAUUUGACAUAAAUGGUUCAUUUUGCUCAGCAAAUGCCACACAGUUGUGGUCCUUUAAUGCCUUAAGGUCUCCUCCUCAUCUUCUGUUAACUUUUUAAAGUAUUGUCUUAAGAACCACAUCACAUGAUAUCUGUGCAGUGGUUUCUCUUGUCUAAGAGCUCAAACCAUUAAUAAUUCUCCAGUAAGCUUUAGGAUCUUGAGUGCUUAUAUUAUUAACAAUAUUAGACUAAAACUUAUUAAACUGCUUAUUUAUUUCCUUAUUAUAGUCUUGACUGGUUUUCUUAUAGGCUUCAUUACUUUCACAGUUAUGCUGAUUUCUUGCUCUGAAAAAGGCUUCAUGCUUUCUUUCACAUUCAUAAUGACGCCAUGGACACUGCUUUUUCUAAUGGUAGUUGUGUCUUAUGGCUAGUGAGCAAUCCACUCAUUUGCACACUUUGGUUAAUAAUUCCAUUAACUGUCUGUACUAAGUUGUCAACAUGUUUGUGGGUUGCAUCAGCACCUACAACCCAUAGGGAAUCUAUUAACAUUUUGGUUUCAAAUAUUCUUGUCUGAACAAGGAAGCAGAAAAAAAACUCUUUUUUUACCUUCAUACCAUCUAGGUUAGCCUAAACCUCAGGACUUUACAUUAAUGCUAGUACCAGCAUCUAGGCUUUCAGAAUCUAUAACACUAACCUGUUAUCAUUACAACCAAUGUCAAGCUUCAACACAACAGGACAGUUAGCAUCAGAGAACAAUCCAUUAAACUCAAGCACUUCAAAGCCAUUCAUCCAAGUUAUAAGCCAUGUUGAGACAAUAGCAUAGUCAACCACAUUAACCUCCUUACAUGUGCACUUGCCAAUACUUUAUCAGAGCAAAAACAUCUGCUAACAAUUAUCAUGCUCACAGUAUUACAAAAAUCAAGUAAAAACGAUGAUUAUUUUUGCAUUACAUGAGACUCUACCUGGCAUGUCUUUGCCCUUGCGAGACUUUUUGCCGAUGACAUUGCCUUGUUUUCCGAUACGGUAGUAGGUUUGCAGAAUCAAUUAAAUAUUUUGAAUAUGACUAAACAUUUAGAACAAAGUAAAUUUAGAUCAAUCAAAUAUUGUAGUUUUUAGAAACGGUGGUUUUUAUUUCAAAGAAUGAAGAGAGGUUCCUAGAAAACAAAAAACUAUUAUCAAUACUUAUAAAUAUUUUGGACUGUAUUUGUCAAUUCAUUGUGUAUUUACUCAGGCUCUACAAGACCUUGCAGGAAAAGCACAGAAAGGAGUAGCUAGUAUCUUGAGAGUUUUUAUGGUCAUUACAGCUGUAACCCAUCAUUAUUUUUUAAAUUGUUUGAUAACCAAAUAAAAAAAUUUCUAUUAUAUGGCUCUGAAAUAUGGUGCUUGGUGCUGAUGUUAACAUUAUAGAAAACAUUCAUAAGUUUGUCAUGAAACGUUUUCUGGGCAUCACUUUUUGGAGCCCAAAUACUCUAGUUUACAGUCAGUAUGGAAGAUACCCACUUUAUAUAUGUACGUAUACAAGAUGCAUUAGAUACUGGCUUAGAAUAACUCAUCUCCCUUUGAACUUUCUACCCAGGAAAGAACUAGUAAUGUUAGAAAAGUUCCUUCAAAACAACAAAACAACUUGGCUGUACCACAUAAUGAUAACACUAUAAGUUUUGUUUCGGUAUUGUUUGGGUAAAACUGUUCUUAAGAGAAUUUAAACUAAGCUUAUAGACUGUCAUAAACAGGACUGGCACAAUAAACUUGCCAGUAGCUCACAUUUGUCUAUAUGCUCUUCUUUUGAAACAGUUAUUUUGCUUAGUCCAUAUCUCUCUGACCUCAGAUAUAUAGGUUUUAAAGACACCUCAGUCAGAGUUAGAUUAGAACUGAACUUCACUUUGUACUUGUUUGUCCUAGGUAUACCAAUUUUAAAGAAGGGUAUAUUCCACCCAAAUUCUGUAAAUUUCCACCUCACUUUAAAUUUUCUGUACUUAGGGCUGAUAAUAAUCCAGGUAUAACACAUUUUGCCAUUCAUCUUUACAAAGCAUUAGAACAGAGGAAUAAUGACAUGACACACUAGUCUUUAUCUGUAUAAUUUUAUAUAUGCUUACCUAGUUACGCAAUUUGUUUUUUUUAAUGCCCUAUUAAUACAACAAAAUCAUGUGAUAACUAGUCUUUUGAUAUGGGCCGAGGGGCAAAUCAAUAAAAAUGUUCAUUUGUUCGUUCAAGUACUGUUAUACACACUGGGCUAUUCGAGUACUGUUAUAUACACUGGGCUGUUCAAGUAUUGUUUAUACACAUGGGACUAUUCAAGUACCAUCAUACACACAAUUAGCAUGCUGAUCAAGCGAAUGCACAUAAUUUUCAGAAUUAUAAUCUUGCAGCAAAUUCUGAUGGAAUUCUUCUAUAGUCACAGCCGUCAAUACUGUGAUCUUGUGUUGUUUGUCCUACAUCAUCUUAUUCUGAUAAGCUUUUUUAUAGUCACACCGCCUUCAAUAUUAUGAUCUUGUCUUGCUCGUCCUAGUCUUGUUUUAACAAGCAGCAUUAAUUGAUUACGCCCUCCUUAUAUUGAAAUGCUUGUUUCAGACUGUUGCUCUUAAACUAACACAACUAUAUUAAUGCACUGUUGUGCUAUUAUUGGAAUGUCCUAGGAUUCAUUCAGGGUAUUUUUCGUAUCUUAGCACACAUUUAUCUAGGCUUUUCUCUUGCAUUAAUUUGUGUUAUAUCUACAGGAGACUGAGACAUAGGAAAAAUUUGCAGUAUGAGCGUACAAGUAACAACUGCCAAAGCAAAGCUGAGGCUGCAGAGCUGGUCAGAUUGACAUUUUCCAGCUAAAUGUUUUGCAAGCCUCAUUCAGUCAGUGCAACAUCGAAUUCACAUGACCAUUGGAGCCACCGCAAUUACGGAAGCCCAUUGUGAUUGUAAGGGAGGAUAAAUGAUGAAUUUUUUUACUAGGUAAAUGAAAACAGAAACAAUUUAUUAAUAAUAAUACUUUUAUAGUGAAGAAUCACAGCUGUACAUUAUAUACAAAAAAAAAAAA